ACCCGCACAAGCGGUGGAUGAUGUGGUUUAAUUCGAUGCAACGCGAAAACCUUACCCACCUUUGACAUGUACGGAAUUUGCCAGAGAUGGCUUAGUGCUCGAAAGAGAGCCGUAACACAGGUGCUGCAUGGCUGUCGUCAGCUCGUGUCGUGAGAUGUUGGGUUAAGUCCCGCAACGAGCGCAACCCUUGUCAUUAGUUGCUACAUUCAGUUGGGCACUCUAAUGAGACUGCCGGUGACAAACCGGAGGAAGGUGGGGAUGACGUCAAGUCCUCAUGGCCCUUAUAGGUGGGGCUACACACGUCAUACAAUGGCCGGUACAAAGGGUCGCAAACCCGCGAGGGGGAGCCAAUCCAUCAAAGCCGGUCGUAGUCCGGAUCGCAGUCUGCAACUCGACUGCGUGAAGUCGGAAUCGCUAGUAAUCGUGGAUCAGCAUGUCACGGUGAAUACGUUCCCGGGUCUU
Molecule: ribosomal RNA, 462 nt
Filed under: uncultured Hydrogenophaga sp.
Lineage: Bacteria; Pseudomonadati; Pseudomonadota; Betaproteobacteria; Burkholderiales; Comamonadaceae
Description: bacterial SSU rRNA
Rfam family: Bacterial small subunit ribosomal RNA
Source: RNAcentral